GAGGGUAUAGCUCACUGGUAGAGCACAUCCCUAGCACGUAUGAGGUCCUGGGUUCAAUCCCCAGAACCUCCA
Molecule: transfer RNA, 72 nt
Filed under: Camelus bactrianus (Bactrian camel)
Lineage: Eukaryota; Metazoa; Chordata; Mammalia; Artiodactyla; Camelidae
Also listed under: 2 other names
Rfam family: tRNA
About the family: Transfer RNA (tRNA) molecules are approximately 80 nucleotides in length.
Source: Rfam by way of RNAcentral